RNAcentral lists this ribosomal RNA (1024 nucleotides) under Bacillus subtilis. Its description in RNAcentral is "bacterial SSU rRNA". It matches the Rfam family "Bacterial small subunit ribosomal RNA", at positions 359 to 1376 of the family's 1533-position model. Lineage: Bacteria; Bacillati; Bacillota; Bacilli; Caryophanales; Bacillaceae. The record is from RNAcentral.
GGAACUUCCGCAAAUGGACGAAAGUCUGACGGAGCAACGCCGCGUGAGUGAUGAAGGUUUUCGGAUCGUAAAGCUCUGUUGUUAGGGAAGAACAAGUACCGUUCGAAUAGGGCGGUACCUUGACGGUACCUAACCAGAAAGCCACGGCUAACUACGUGCCAGCAGCCGCGGUAAUACGUAGGUGGCAAGCGUUGUCCGGAAUUAUUGGGCGUAAAGGGCUCGCAGGCGGUUUCUUAAGUCUGAUGUGAAAGCCCCCGGCUCAACCGGGGAGGGUCAUUGGAAACUGGGGAACUUGAGUGCAGAAGAGGAGAGUGGAUUUCCACGGGUAGCGGUGAAAUGCGUAGAGAUUUGGAGGAACCCCAGUGGGGAAGGGGACUCUUUGGUCUGUAACUGACGCUGAGGAGCGAAAGCGUGGGAGCGAACAGGAUUAGAUACCCUGGUAGUCCACGCCGUAAACGAUGAGUGCUAAGUGUUAGGGGGUUUCCGCCCCUUAGUGCUGCAGCUAACGCAUUAAGCACUCCGCCUGGGGAGUACGGUCGCAAGACUGAAACUCAAAGGAAUUGACGGGGGCCCGCACAAGCGGUGGAGCAUGUGGUUUAAUUCGAAGCAACGCGAAGAACCUUACCAGGUCUUGACAUCCUCUGACAAUCCUAGAGAUAGGACGUCCCCUUCGGGGGCAGAGUGACAGGUGGUGCAUGGUUGUCGUCAGCUCGUGUCGUGAGAUGUUGGGUUAAGUCCCGCAACGAGCGCAACCCUUGAUCUUAGUUGCCAGCAUUCAGUUGGGCACUCUAAGGUGACUGCCGGUGACAAACCGGAGGAAGGUGGGGAUGACGUCAAAUCAUCAUGCCCCUUAUGACCUGGGCUACACACGUGCUACAAUGGACAGAACAAAGGGCAGCGAAACCGCGAGGUUAAGCCAAUCCCACAAAUCUGUUCUCAGUUCGGAUCGCAGUCUGCAACUCGACUGCGUGAAGCUGGAAUCGCUAGUAAUUCGCGGAUCAGCAUGCCGCGGGAAUACUUCCCG